This 72-nucleotide transfer RNA is filed under the name Salix viminalis (osier). The record is from RNAcentral. Lineage: Eukaryota; Viridiplantae; Streptophyta; Magnoliopsida; Malpighiales; Salicaceae.
AACGAUCUAAUAGAUGGAUCAUUUGUAAGACUUUGAUUCUUAUGGUCUCAGGUUCGAGUCAUGUGGUUGAUA